This 202-nucleotide unclassified non-coding RNA is filed under the name uncultured fungus. RNAcentral's name for it is "sequence contains ITS1". Lineage: Eukaryota; Fungi. The record is from RNAcentral.
UUAACUAUUAUCAAGUACUCAGACGACACUAAAUCAACGAGUUUUUUAAAAUCCCCUGGCAGGCGCUGGCCAGCCUGAAGCCGGCGGCGCAGGGCGGGCCUGCCAAAGCAACAAAGAGUAUGGUAAACAAAGGGUGGGAGAUCUGUUAACCCCGAAGGGCAAGUUCUCUUUAAUGAUCCUUCCGCAGGUUCACCUACGGAAA